Molecule: small RNA, 83 nt
Filed under: Clostridium botulinum E1 str. 'BoNT E Beluga'
Lineage: Bacteria; Bacillati; Bacillota; Clostridia; Eubacteriales; Clostridiaceae
Source: RNAcentral
UUCAGUAUAAAUAAAGAGCCAUACAUUAGAAAACUAUAAAUAUAGCUCUUUUAUAAAUUAUAUAAAUAAAUUUAGUCCCGAAU